AACGAACGCUGGCGGCAGGCUUAACACAUGCAAGUCGAGCGCGCCCUUUCGGGGGUGAGCGGCGGACGGGUGAGUAACGCGUGGGAACGUGCCCUUCUCUCUGGAAUAGCCCUGGGAAACUGGGAGUAAUGCCGGAUACGCCCUUAUCGUAGGGAUACGGUUUGGGGAAAGAUUUAUCGGGGAAGGAUCGGCCCGCGUCGGAUUAGGUAGUUGGUGGGGUAACGGCCUACCAAGCCGACGAUCCGUAGCUGGUUUGAGAGGAUGACCAGCCACACUGGGACUGAGACACGGCCCAGACUCCUACGGGAGGCAGCAGUGGGGAAUCUUGGACAAUGGGGGCAACCCUGAUCCAGCCAUGCCGCGUGAGCGAUGAAGGCCUUAGGGUUGUAAAGCUCUUUCAGCGGGGAAGAUAAUGACGGUACCCGCAGAAGAAGCCCCGGCUAACUCCGUGCCAGCAGCCGCCGUAACAC
This 470-nucleotide ribosomal RNA is filed under the name uncultured bacterium. RNAcentral describes it as "bacterial SSU rRNA". It matches the Rfam family "Bacterial small subunit ribosomal RNA", at positions 28 to 526 of the family's 1533-position model. The record is from RNAcentral.